CUCCCUCCCCUCAACAUAGCGCCGCGACUCGUGCCCACCAUGUCGCCGCACCGCCGCUGUGAACGGAUCCGUGCAUCCCGUACACCGGCCUUGGCUUCCUCCCCCCUUCCCUCAACCUAGCUCCACCACUCGCGCCCACCUCCGUCCGCAGGUGGCGCAGGGGAGGAGCCGGCCAUCCUCAGGGUGGCGCUGGGCUCCGGCAAGCUGCGCAUCGAGGGGUCGCUGGGCUCCGCCGCUCCCGCCCCCGUGCGCUCGCCGACACGGUCAGUAGUUCCACUCGGAGAAAGGAACGUUUCCCCCCUUCCUGUCUCACCAGAUCCAUUUCCCCGCUGUUGUUUCGCCCGUGGCUUUCACUUUCACUCGAUUUAGAUUCCAUUUCCGUUCGUUCGUUCCUGUUUCCCUUGCUCGUUCGUUCGAUUGGAGCUUGCCCCUGCCUGGAUCUGGCCUAGCCGAGCCCGGUUGUUCUGAAUCCCGAUUCGGUUCGGCUCCCUUGCUCUGUCGUCGCUUCCGAGGCGUGCUCGGAUCUCGUUAGAGUAGAGGGCCUCGCGGCUCGCUUCGAGUGGUGCAUCAACUUCAGCCUAGAUGGACGAUACCUUGCCACUGCUGGAGAGGACCACGUGAUCCAUGUGUGGGAGGUGUCCAAGGGAGACCGAAAGGGCGAGUUACUCGGGGAAGCUUCGGUGGCAAAGGAGAAUGGUGGUGGUUGCAGUCCAUUUCUCGCGAUUGUUGGGAAUGAUUCACUGGAGAUGGCUGCAUUGUCGUUCACCUACACUGAAGGGGGCUAUGUGGACAAGAAGAGAAGGCCGAGGAAGCAGAACAAUCACAAGUCUGUAGGGUCCGAUCAUCUGGUUGUUCCUAAGUGUGUGUUUGGUUUCACAGACAAGCCAGUCUGCUCACUUCUGGGGCAUGCUGCCGAUGUUCUUGAUCUGUCAUGGUCCAAAUCUCAGAGAAGAAGCUUCAGUACAAAAGUCAGAUAGAUUUAAGAAUUAGGAAAAAGAAGUCAGGCCAGAAGAAGAUAACUGGCUUCCAGUUUGCUCCUGGAAGCUCCUCGGAAGUUCUGAUUACUUCUGCGGAUUCGAGAAUACGAGUUGUUAACGGCGAUGAAUUUGUCCACCGCCGCCGCAAAGGAAGGAAAGAGAGCUAGAAGAAGGAGAAGCACAAAAGUCACCCUCCAAGAUUGUUGCUGAUAGUCUCAGCCAGAUCAGUCGAUCAUCCACCUUCCUUCCAAACAUUGGUGUCUGUUUGAAUGCUUUGUAUGUUUGAACCUCUGUUGUGGAAGAACUAGUGUGCUGGAAUUGUGUAUGACUUGUGAUGAGAAUGUUGUGUAUGAUGGCUUUUCUGUGUAUUAUGAUUCUGUGAGCUAUCAUGAGAGCUCAGUGUGUCGUCA
Zea mays is the source of this 1387-nucleotide long non-coding RNA. RefSeq lists it as uncharacterized. The record is from RefSeq and is a predicted model, not a curated record. The transcript is spliced from 3 exons. NCBI's taxonomy places the organism in Eukaryota, Viridiplantae, Streptophyta, Magnoliopsida, Poales, Poaceae.